This 308-nucleotide ribosomal RNA is filed under the name uncultured bacterium. RNAcentral describes it as "bacterial SSU rRNA". It matches the Rfam family "Bacterial small subunit ribosomal RNA", at positions 30 to 325 of the family's 1533-position model. The record is from RNAcentral.
AUUGAACGCUGGCGGCAUGCCUUACACAUGCAAGUCGAACGGCAGCACGGGACUCGGGCAACUGAGCCCUGGUGGCGAGUGGCGAACGGGUGAGUAAUGCAUCGGAACGUACCCAGUAGUGGGGGAGUAACUAGUCGAAGAUUAGCUAAUACCGCAUACGACCUAUGGUGAAGACGGGGAGUUCGCAAGAACCUCGCGCUAUCGGAGCGGCCGAUGUCUGAUAGCUAGUUGGCGGGGUAAAAGGACCCACCCAAGGCUUCGAUCAGUAGCUGGUCUGAGAGGACGACCAGCCACACUGGGACUGAGAC